Molecule: ribosomal RNA, 241 nt
Filed under: uncultured marine Prymnesiales
Lineage: Eukaryota; Haptophyta; Prymnesiales
Description: partial Bacterial large subunit ribosomal RNA
Rfam family: Bacterial large subunit ribosomal RNA
Source: RNAcentral
GGCGUAACGACUUCCCCGCUGUCUCCAACAUCGACUCAGCGAAAUUGAAUUGCCUGUCAAGAUGCAGGCUUCCCGCGGUCAGACGGAAAGACCCCGUGCACCUUUACUACAGCUUCGCACUGGCAUCAGGAUUGUGAUGUGCAGGAUAGGUGGUAGGCUUUGAACCCGUGACGCCAGUCGCGGUGGAGCCUCCCUUGAGAUACCACCCUUCGCACUCUUGAUGUCUAACCGCGGCCCCUCA